This 1002-nucleotide long non-coding RNA is filed under the name Homo sapiens (human). Its description in RNAcentral is "long intergenic non-protein coding RNA 1723". Lineage: Eukaryota; Metazoa; Chordata; Mammalia; Primates; Hominidae. The record is from RNAcentral.
GAGACACACCCAGCGGCAGCCGUUGACUCCCUCCACCCUUGCUUCCCUCUCAACCAUCUCACCUCCAUCUGUCCAGUGGAGCCAGAUGUCCCACCUUCUUGGGAGAAAUUAAUUGAGGCUCAUUUCCAGGACAGAGGGGCAAGCUGGGUCUGAGGAGCCAAGCAGAAAAACUUCCCAAAAUCACUGGGUGGGGAGGGGUCAGAGACUUACUGCUGCCCCAGCUGUUCUGACUCUGCCCCCAGCUUUUGGCCCCACCCUUUUAAAGCACCUUCAGAGGUUCCCAAUGGUGACAGUAAACAAGUCUCCACUGUCCUGGCCAUCUCUGCUGUGUUCACCCUACUCCUGAUCUUUCUGGCUGCUCAGGGACUGACAGCCAAGAUGUGAGGCUGUGAUGAGCAGGAACAGGGAGGCCUGGAGCCCCCAGCCAUUGUCAUCACUUCCCUGAUCUGCCUAAAUUCUGCCCAGCAGUCCGUGAAAAUGGUUUGCUGAUGACAUAUGUAAGGACUUUAACUCCCCUCAAGCAAUCUGCUCAUCUCAAAGGAUUUGCAAUGAUCAAGAGGCGUCCUGUGAAUGCAGUUUGCAAAGGACUUAGGCACACAGCAUCUCCUUUGUUCUCACCACAAGGCUGCCGGGUGUGCAGAUGUGAGGAUUAUUUCAAUGGUGAAGAAGCAUCCUGAGAGGUUACGUAGUUCAACUAAUGUCACACCAAGAGCAGGAGAGCAUCUGGGCAUUUGGACAUGGAAGGUGUGGGGCACAAGCAUCUCAUGGCCAGGGAACGGGGGAGGAGCAUCUCAGAGCUGCAUCAGAGUUCAUGCUGGUCCUAGGACAAGAGUCAAGCACACCCUGCUUUCACCAGCUGCUGGUAGCUUUCACUCAGGUUCCCACUUUGGCCACUUAAUUCUCUGAACCUCUACUACAUGAAGAGACUAGAACUUGAUUAGAAAAAAAUGGAAUGACUCUUAAUGAGCAAGUGGAUGAAUAAAUUGUGGUAAAUCCCUACAA